GGUAAAGUGCCCGUCCCGUCCCGUCCCGUCCCGCCGCGGGGCCCGGGGAGCGCUGCGGCUGCCGCCGCGCCGCGCCGGGCCGAGCCUCCGCGGGGUCUCGGGAGAAAUUAAACCGCCUCCAGGAGCGUCGCUUCAUGACCCGGCGCCCCGCGCGUAGCGGAGCGGGGAGGCGCUCGCCUGGUCCGCGGCGGCGGCGGCUGUGCCCGCGGCCUGGCUGGGGGCUCCCCGCUCGCUCCCCGCUCGCGUUUCCUCUUCUUUUCUCCCUGGGUUGUGUUUAUAUGCAAACGCGGCCCGCAAAAUGAGCCGUGGUAAAUGAGACUGAGAAGUAACGUAAGCUGCUUUUUAUUUACUUGAACGGCGCCUUGUUGGGGUUUUUGGGUUUUUUUUCUUUCAAAAUGCAGCUAAAGAAGUUAAUAUGACGGCUGUGCUUAAAAAUAUCAACCGCUGCUUUCCUUGUGAUCCUGGCGGAACAGAAAAUCAUCCGAGCUGCAGCGCCGCCGCGAUAGGACACAAACCCUCAUGUUGCUUUCUCUUUUGCACUUUGGUCACUUCACUUCCAUCUAUAUGGAAAUUUAAGACUGAAACAGAAGAUCUGAAUGUAAAACUGCUAAUAUUUCAGAGGGGCACAGCUACUUGUCCUUCUCCUACUUUCUCUGUUUGGUCUAUAUUUUGUAAAACUUACUAUUGUUUUACCAGAAUUUGAUUACAUGAAUCCCAAGCAGUGAUGGAGAAGAAAUAAAAAUAAAUAAAUGGAGAUAACUUUUAUUCUU
This 770-nucleotide long non-coding RNA is filed under the name Apteryx rowi (Okarito brown kiwi). RNAcentral's name for it is "lncRNA (ENSARWG00000011448.1)". Lineage: Eukaryota; Metazoa; Chordata; Aves; Apterygiformes; Apterygidae. The record is from RNAcentral.